Molecule: long non-coding RNA, 875 nt
Organism: Cyprinus carpio (common carp)
Lineage: Eukaryota; Metazoa; Chordata; Actinopteri; Cypriniformes; Cyprinidae
Source: Ensembl
AAUCUGUUUGUUUAUUUACAAUGUUGUUCCAGGGUCAACAAAGAUGUUGAUCCAGGAACAUGUCGCACUUGGUAAAAUCGGGUUCUGCUACAGUGCACAGUACACUUUCCCUGAACACUUUGACCCUGCUUGACUGAGUUCCGAUCCAUAGAUUAGGUUGUCUAGAAUGCCUGUCAUGUCACGAUUUUGAGAAAGACUGUUCAGAUUUGCUAUAUGUGACACAGGUUUCUUUUAUGCAGACAGAAAACAGCUGAUAGGAAAAUGUAGCUUACAUGAUUGUCUACAAACAGCCUGACAAGUCUGUGAGAAUUCUGGCCUGCAAUGACACAGAGACUUGGACUCCAAAUUAGAGAUGUGUGAACAGCACAAUCUUUUUCCCAGUAGCACUGACAUUAAUGAGGAGCUCAGGUGUCAGGGGAAGAGACGUGUGUCAGACGUCAGGAGAUACCACUGUGGAGCCACAGAAGGGGAGCAACAAAAGGGGCUCAGAGAAGAGUGGGUGAGGUGUUUGUUGCAUAUCCUGAGAACGUGUGGCCAUGGGGGGUGUCAUUAGAGCCACUCGUUGGGCUGGUGGGUGGCCAGCAUGUGUGGAGAUCCGGACGCCUGUAAAUGUCACAGAAGAAAGUCCUACUGUGCAUAGAACUCAUUUCCUGUUAACAGCCAGCUCUCUCUAGUUCUGCAUUAUUGAUAAAGGGCAUACGUAUGCUUGCAAACACAAACACACACACUCUUAUGCAAACAAUACCAAACUAUCUUGACAAGUAAUUCACUAAGAACAACAACAACUCUGGCAAACUGUUAGAUCUGGAAACUUCUUAAUAAUUUAGAGCCUUAAGAAAAGAGUUCUGGUAAAUAAAAUUUUGAUUAGCAAGUCA